This 684-nucleotide long non-coding RNA is filed under the name Homo sapiens (human). The record is from RNAcentral. Lineage: Eukaryota; Metazoa; Chordata; Mammalia; Primates; Hominidae.
AACUAGGCAUAUGCUCUUGAUUUCUAUCGUUGGCAAUUUGUGGGCCCUGGAUAAGUGUUUGCUAUUUGCAUGUGUCUGGGGAAGCACCCUAGGAUACUAAGGUAAGACCUAAAAUGGCGAUUUGAAGAAUGAUGUGAGAUUGAGGUGGAUACUUGUGUAAGUGGUGAUGAGUAAUGUCUUUGUCUGCAAAUAGAUGAUUAGCUGCAACUGAGAUUCCUGUUUUCAAUAUAGCUCAUGAGAAGGCCUAUUAAAAUAUCAAUAGACUGGUUCCAUUUAUAUAGCAUUUGUCUUUCAGAUUUCCAAGUCUCUUCUGGUGUGCUGAGGUAUAUUUCAAUGUCUUCUCUCCGCUGAGGAUGACAGGGAGGACUCACGUAGCCACAUUGGCAAUGUUCUUUCAGAAGCACUAUUUGGGAACCUUGGAGCCUCUGGAAGAUGAACACCAUACCAUCCACAAUGUCAGGAUGAAAGUAGCUUCACUUCCCUGGGGUUCACGCCGUGGACAGUGCAACCUUCAGAUGCAAGGCUGAGCAUGAUUCAUUUAAAUCCCACCUGGAACUAUUCAAACAGGUGUGUGUCUAUGCUGAUUAGUUCUCAUUUCCACACUUAGAGAGCCCUCUAGAAUUGGAAUGGGUAUAAUAGUGGUAUUCAGCCCAUUCAAAUGUCGAUUAAUUAGCAAGUAUUCUG